AGAGUUUGAUCAUGGCUCAGAACGAACGCUGGCGGCAUGCCUAACACAUGCAAGUCGAACGAGACCUUCGGGUCUAGUGGCGCACGGGUGCGUAACGCGUGGGAAUCUGCCCCUUGGUUCGGAAUAACAGCGAGAAAUUGCUGCUAAUACCGGAUAAUGACGUAAGUCCAAAGAUUUAUCGCCAAGGGAUGAGCCCGCGUAGGAUUAGCUAGUUGGUGUGGUAAAGGCGCACCAAGGCGACGAUCCUUAGCUGGUCUGAGAGGAGGAUCAGCCACACUGGGACCGAGACACGGCCCAGACUCCUACGGGAGGCAGCAGUGGGGAAUAUUGGACAAUGGGCGAAAGCCUGAUCCAGCAAUGCCGCGUGAGUGAUGAAGGCCUUAGGGUUGUAAAGCUCUUUUACCCGGGAUGAUAAUGACAGUACCGGGAGAAUAAGCUCCGGCUAGCUCCGUGCCAGCAGCCGCGGUAAUUC
RNAcentral lists this ribosomal RNA (472 nucleotides) under uncultured bacterium. Its description in RNAcentral is "bacterial SSU rRNA". It matches the Rfam family "Bacterial small subunit ribosomal RNA", at positions 8 to 526 of the family's 1533-position model. The record is from RNAcentral.